Molecule: ribosomal RNA, 434 nt
Filed under: uncultured bacterium
Lineage: Bacteria
Description: bacterial SSU rRNA
Rfam family: Bacterial small subunit ribosomal RNA
Source: RNAcentral
GAACGCGAAGAACCUUACCUACCCUUGACAUGCCAGGAAGCCCGCAGAGAUGUGGGUGUGCCCGAAAGGGAACCUGGACACAGGUGCUGCAUGGCUGUCGUCAGCUCGUGUCGUGAGAUGUUGGGUUAAGUCCCGCAACGAGCGCAACCCUUGCCAUUAGUUGCUACAUUCAGUUGGGCACUCUAAUGGGACCGCCGGUGACAAACCGGAGGAAGGUGGGGAUGACGUCAAGUCCUCAUGGCCCUUAUGGGUAGGGCUUCACACGUAAUACAAUGGUCGGUACAGAGGGCUGCCAACCCGCAAGGGGGAGCUAAUCCCAGAAAGCCGAUCGUAGUCCGGAUUGUAGUCUGCAACUCGACUGCAUGAAGCCGGAAUCGCUAGUAAUCGCGGAUCAGCAUGUCGCGGUGAAUACGUUCCCGGGUCUUGUACACACC